This 288-nucleotide long non-coding RNA is filed under the name Brassica napus (rape). Its description in RNAcentral is "long non-coding RNA (BNAP_LNC016367)". The record is from RNAcentral. Lineage: Eukaryota; Viridiplantae; Streptophyta; Magnoliopsida; Brassicales; Brassicaceae.
GACUUCGUAUGAAAUCUACUCUACAAAGAUAUGUUAGUUUUGUGGUUGACUAGAUUGUUAAAAUAUUGAUCAAAAACCAUUUAAAGUGUAGACUACAUAAAAUGUCUACUGAUCUUAGGAAAAAACGUAGACUACAUAUAAAAUCUCUUAUUUUAUUUUGGCCAGACACAAAAGUAAUUUAAUUUAAAAAUAUUAUAAUUUUUGUAAUAUUUAACAUUAGUAGACUACACCCUAAAAGCGAAGUCUACUAUAGCUAAAUAAAGUAGAAUUCAUAGUCUACUAAACCCU